AGAAUCUAUUAAUAUGCUUUUCAAACAGAUAUUUCUGCUCACCUUGAAGCACUGGUCCUCGUCUUAGGCUGCAUGGCUGGGGACACUGGUCUUACUACACAACAAACAUAGGCUCCUCCGGAUGGUUAGAGCAAGUGUGGUUGCUGCCCACCACCAGCCUGCUCCUGGCAAGCGGACGCUCUCGGGGAUCCCGAGCUGAAGUUUUUCAGAGCAGACUGCUGGAUCCACAAGGCUCACUCGGGGCCUCUUUGGCAGAGUUAAGACACUUCCCCACAUCAGGAGGUUUUUGCACAGAAAUGAGGCAAAUAAGUCAUGCGACUAGAGGAGCUAGAAUAAAUAUUCCUGCUGACAGUAUCACAGAGCUUCGGUCAGCUCACUUAACAAUGAGCACAAGCUUUUAUUGCUUCCACAAAAGCUCGUGGUUCCUGUGUCUGGUGGCAACACAAUAAAUCGCCUCUUGAAUCGUCAAUGUCUUUCAAUUAUUUGCUUACCCACCUUUGUACUGCCUUAUCAGCCAUGUGGGAUUUUGUCAGGUUUUUCAGUUGUGUUUUGUUUAUUUUUGUCUGUUUUGGACUCUGUUUUGGACUCCGUGAAUAUGUGUGGCAGACUAGGUACAUGAAUCCACUUCCUCAGAACGUAUUUUUUCCCUUGGCAUUUUAUUUCAUAAUACAUUCUCAAAGUUAUUAUAUUUUAAUGUAUCUCACUUCUUAAUUUGGCUAGUCGAUUUAUUUGGCUGAUAUCAGCCAAAGCCAGAUAAAGGGCAGCGGGAGCUGGAGCCAGGAAACACAGCUAAGGGAGAAGUCACCUGUACUUCCAGACUCCCCUGUAGAAUUUUGUCCACACAUCUUCAUGGACUUCAUUUAUUCAUUCAUUUAACAAAUAUUUAUUGAGCACUUACCAUGUGUUGAACACUGUUCUAGGCACUGGGGCCAAACAAGGAACAAAAGAGACAAAAAUUUCUGCCCUUAUGGAGCUUAGAUUCUAACAGGGGAAACAAUUAACAAAAGUAAAAUGUAUAUGAGAUAAAUAAAUGCCAAGGGAGAAACACAGCAUAAAAUAGUCAUAGGAAGUGUGUGUACAUAAGAGCAAACUGUGAUUUUACAUAGCCAGGGACACCUCUCAGAGAAUGUCACAUUUGAAUAAAGGCCUGGUGGCGCAGUGGUUAAGUGCACAUGUUCCACUUCAGCGGCCCGGGGUUCGCCGGUUUGGAUCCCAGGUGCGGACACGGCACCACUUGGCAAGCCAUGCUGUGGUAGGCGUCCCACAUAUAAAGUAGAGAAAGAUGGGCAUGGAUGUUAGCUCAGGACCAGUCUUCCUCAGCCAAAAGAGGAGGAUUGGCAGCAGUUAGCUCAGGGCUAAUCUUCCUCAAAAAAAAGAAAAAUGAAUAAAGACCAGAAGGAAGGAAGAGAUGAGCAGAGGGAAUAUGCAGGGAAGGUGCAUUUAAGUAGAGGCAAUAGUUAGAUCAAAGGCCCUGAGGCAAGAGCCUGCUAGUGUGUUCAAGGAGUACCAAGGUGGCCACUGGAGCUGGAGGAGAAUAAACAAGGGAAAGAGACAUAGGAGAUAAGGUCAGAUGGCUAUGGGAGGACCCUAUCACCUAGGCCUCAGAAAGCUUUUGUAGAUAUUAGAAAGAUUUCAUCCUUUACAAGAUGGAAAACUACUGAAAGAUUUUGAGUGGAUGAGUUUCAUGGUCAGUCUUAACUUUGACAACAUCACUGGCUGGUUUGUUGAGAAUAAGUGAUGAGGGGCAAAUUUGACAGAAGUGAGAUUGGUUUUAGAAAGCCAUUGCAAUAAUCCAAGGGAGAAACAGUGGGGGCUUGGACCAGUAUGGCAGCAGAGGAGGUGGUGAGAAGUGACCCAUUCGGGGUCUAUUUUGCAGGUCAGGCAAACAGGUCGUGUAUGAGAGGAAAAGAGGAGUGAAGGAGAAUCCCAAGGUUUGGGGCCCGCGCACCUGGUAGAAGGUUGUUGCCAUUUCCUGCAAAGGGGAAGGCUGCAUAGGGAGUAGUUUGGGGGGGAAAGGGAUUUGGGGGAUCAUCAGCUUCUAACCCUGAGACUGGGUAAGAUCAUCAAGGUAGCGAGUGUAGAAGUGCAAGGACUGAGCUCUGGGGCACUCGAACACUCCGAGGUGGGGUGACCAACUCUUCUGGUUUGCCCAGGGCUGAGGGGUCCCAAGACACAGGACUUUCAGGAAAGUUCUGAGCAAACCGAGAUGACUGAUGAUCUGCUCAGAGGCCGGCGAGAUGAAUGAAAAGCCCACGAAAAGGAAUAGCAGGGCCAUAGGAGACAGGUUGCCGUGGGAGCCUCGGGACGAAUUUCAAGAAGACAGCUCUCAACUCCGGCAAACACUGCUGAUGGGCAAGUAAGAGGAGUACUGAGAAUCGACCACUGGAUUUAGCAACAGAGAGGCCAGAGGGGACCUUGACAAGAGCAGUUUUAUUGGAAGGUGCGAGGGACAGAAAGCCUGAUUUUAGUGAUUCAAGUGUGUCUUAGUCUGCUCGGGCUGCUAAAACAAAAGACCAUAGUCUGCGUGACUUAAACAACAGAAACUUACUUCUCACAAUUCUGGAGGCUGAGAAAUCCAAGAUCAAGGUGCCAACAGAUUCGGUUCCUGG
Molecule: long non-coding RNA, 2609 nt
Filed under: Equus caballus (horse)
Lineage: Eukaryota; Metazoa; Chordata; Mammalia; Perissodactyla; Equidae
Description: lncRNA (ENSECAG00000052097.1)
Source: RNAcentral